This 787-nucleotide small RNA is filed under the name Pan troglodytes (chimpanzee). RNAcentral describes it as "retained intron". The record is from RNAcentral. Lineage: Eukaryota; Metazoa; Chordata; Mammalia; Primates; Hominidae.
GGGUGCCUGUACCUCUCCAGUCCAGCUGAGCAAGGAGGCUCAGGAAUUAAUGAGGAUGGGGCUUGUGUAGCACGAUGGUUCUAGGCCAUCCCUUUUCCAUGGCUCAAGUCCAUUGAAGGCAGCCUCCAAAAUCAGGUUGCCUGAUCCUCCUAGUGCCACAAUCCCAGUCCUAGCUAGAACUUGCCAUGGUUCUUCUCCCUAAAAGUUCCCAGGGGACAGGAGACAGGUGUUGCUUUUCUAAUGGAGCAGGACCUCGCAUGGACGGGGCCCUCCAAGCCUGCUAACACCCUGUUCGCACUGACUCAGCCCUGGAAGAGAGGCCGGCAGUGAUGACCUCGCCCCUGUACCUGGAGAUCAUCAUCUAUUGCACAGGGGCCUUCCUCAUCUCCUGCAUGGUGGGGUCGGUCAUCGUCUACAAGAUGAAGAGUGGUACCAAGAAGAGUGACUUCCACAGCCAGAUGGCUGUGCACAAGCUGGCCAAGAGCAUCCCUCUGCGCAGACAGGUAACAGUGUCUGCUGACUCCAGUGCAUCCAUGAACUCUGGGGUUCUUCUGGUUCGGCCAUCACGGCUCUCCUCCAGUGGGACUCCCAUGCUAGCAGGGGUCUCUGAGUAUGAGCUUCCCGAAGACCCUCGCUGGGAGCUGCCUCGGGACAGACUGGUCUUAGGCAAACCCCUGGGAGAGGGCUGCUUUGGGCAGGUGGUGUUGGCAGAGGCUAUCGGGCUGGACAAGGACAAACCCAACCGUGUGACCAAAGUGGCUGUGAAGAUGUUGAAGUCGGACGCAAC